AGAGUUUGAUCCUGGCUCAGGACGAACGCUGGCGGCGUGCCUCAAACAUGCAAGUCGAGCGUGGGCACAUUGCCUCGCAAGAGGUGGUGUGCUCUAGCGGCGAACGGGUGCGUAACACGUGGGGAACCAACCUCCAGACGGGGACAACCUCGGGAAACCGGGGCUAAUACCGGAUACGUUCUUCGGGUCGCAUGGCCUGA
This 200-nucleotide ribosomal RNA is filed under the name uncultured bacterium. Its description in RNAcentral is "partial 16S ribosomal RNA". It matches the Rfam family "Bacterial small subunit ribosomal RNA", at positions 8 to 198 of the family's 1533-position model. The record is from RNAcentral.